RNAcentral lists this long non-coding RNA (286 nucleotides) under Phoenix dactylifera (date palm). RNAcentral describes it as "long non-coding RNA (PDAC_LNC001825)". The record is from RNAcentral. Lineage: Eukaryota; Viridiplantae; Streptophyta; Magnoliopsida; Arecales; Arecaceae.
GGGGGCUUAGGGUCUAGUUCUGUCGGUGCAAUGGGGUAUGGAGGCUUGCAGUCCUUGAGCUUGUCCAUGAGCCCUGGCUCUCCACAGCUCCACAGCAGAUAAUCCGAGUCCAAACCGUUGCACUAAGAUUGCAUUGGCGCAUGCGAGCUGGCCAAAGACUCAUCUUGGUCCCUUCUUAAGAAUUAAGGCCCAAGCAAGAGAAAGGAGACUGGACCUAACCCGUGCCCCACUCAUCUUGGAUUGGACGUUGCUUCCGGGUUCAGGCGCGUAGCAGAUUGGGUGGGGU